Molecule: ribosomal RNA, 434 nt
Filed under: uncultured bacterium
Lineage: Bacteria
Description: bacterial SSU rRNA
Rfam family: Bacterial small subunit ribosomal RNA
Source: RNAcentral
ACUCCUACGGGAGGCAGCAGUAGGGGAAUCUUCCACAAUGGGCGCAAGCCUGAUGGAGCAACACCGCGUGAGUGAAGAAGGGUUUCGGCUCGUAAAGCUCUGUUGUUAAAGAAGAACACGUAUGAGAGUAACUGUCAUACGUUGACGGUAUUUAACCAGAAAGUCACGGCUAACUACGUGCCAGCAGCCGCGGUAAUACGUAGGUGGCAAGCGUUAUCCGGAUUUAUUGGGCGUAAAGAGAGUGCAGGCGGUUUUCUAAGUCUGAUGUGAAAGCCUUCGGCUUAACCGGAGAAGUGCAUCGGAAACUGGAUAACUUGAGUGCAGAAGAGGGUAGUGGAACUCCAUGUGUAGCGGUGGAAUGCGUAGAUAUAUGGAAGAACACCAGUGGCGAAGGCGGCUACCUGGUCUGCAACUGACGCUGAGACUCGAAAGCA